RNAcentral lists this transfer RNA (72 nucleotides) under Fukomys damarensis (Damara mole-rat). It matches the Rfam family "tRNA". Rfam says of the family: Transfer RNA (tRNA) molecules are approximately 80 nucleotides in length. The record is from Rfam by way of RNAcentral. Lineage: Eukaryota; Metazoa; Chordata; Mammalia; Rodentia; Bathyergidae.
UGAGAUGUUGCUCAGUGGUAGAGAGCUUGCCUUGUGUGUAUAAGGCCCUGGGUUUGAUCCCCAGCACAUCAC